CGGCGGUAUGCUUAACACAUGCAAGUCGAACGGUAGCAGGCCUUCGGGCGCUGACGAGUGGCGGACGGCUGAGUAACGCGUAGGAAUCUGCCUGGUAGUGGGGGACAACGUGGGGAAACUCACGCUAAUACCGCAUACGCCCUACGGGGGAAAGCGGGGGCUCUUCGGACCUCGCGCUAUCAGAUGAGCCUGCGUUAGAUCAGCUAGUUGGUAGGGUAAAGGCCUACCAAGGCGACGAUCUAUAGCUGGUCUGAGAGGACGAUCAGCCACACUGGGACUGAGACACGGCCCAGACUCCUACGGGAGGCAGCAGUGGGGAAUAUUGGACAAUGGGCGCAAGCCUGAUCCAGCAAUACCGCGUGUGUGAAGAAGGCCUUAGGGUUGUAAAGCACUUUCAAUUGGGAGGAAAACCUGCCGGUCAAUACCCGGUAGCUUGACAUUACCUUUAGAAGAAGCACCGGCUAACUCCGUGCCAGCAGCCGCGGUAAUACGGAGGGUGCGAGCGUUAAUCGGAAUUACUGGGCGUAAAGCGUGCGUAGGCGGUUCGUUAAGUCAGAUGUGAAAGCCCCGGGCUUAACCUGGGAACUGCAUUUGAAACUGGCGGACUAGAGUUGAGUAGAGGGGAGUGGAAUUUCAGGUGUAGCGGUGAAAUGCGUAGAUAUCUGAAGGAACACCAGUGGCGAAGGCGACUCCCUGGACUCAAACUGACGCUGAGGUACGAAAGCGUGGGUAGCAAACAGGAUUAGAUACCCUGGUA
This 757-nucleotide ribosomal RNA is filed under the name uncultured bacterium. RNAcentral describes it as "bacterial SSU rRNA". It matches the Rfam family "Bacterial small subunit ribosomal RNA", at positions 37 to 792 of the family's 1533-position model. The record is from RNAcentral.